UAAAAUGAUGAUAUUAUAUAUGGGCGCACAUUUAAAUUUCAUACUACUAAAUGUAGAAUGAUGAAAAUUAUAGGAUGUCAUCCUUGAUCUGAUUAUUUUUUA
Molecule: small nucleolar RNA, 102 nt
Organism: Plasmodium falciparum MaliPS096_E11
Lineage: Eukaryota; Apicomplexa; Aconoidasida; Haemosporida; Plasmodiidae
Rfam family: small nucleolar RNA snoR19
Source: Rfam